This 207-nucleotide ribosomal RNA is filed under the name uncultured bacterium. RNAcentral describes it as "partial 16S ribosomal RNA". It matches the Rfam family "Bacterial small subunit ribosomal RNA", at positions 568 to 774 of the family's 1533-position model. The record is from RNAcentral.
CGUGUAGGCGGAUUUUCAAGUCAAAUGUGAAAACCCCGAGCUUAACUCGGGGCCUGCAUUUGAUACUGUAAAUCUUGAGUACGGGAGAGGAAAGCGGAAUUCCUGGUGUAGCGGUGAAAUGCGUAGAUAUCAGGAGGAACACCGGUGGCGAAGGCGGCUUUCUGGCCCGAUACUGACGCUAAGGCGCGAAGGCCGGGGGAGCAAACA